GCCCAAAGAGUAAAGGAAGAAGAGAGAGCAAUUCAAUACUAACUCUGAACCAAAAUUUUUUUUUGGUGUCGAGAUAGUAUUGAAUUGCUCUCUCUUCUUCCUUUACUCUUUGGGCAACUU
This 120-nucleotide small nucleolar RNA is filed under the name Tetranychus urticae (two-spotted spider mite). RNAcentral describes it as "snoRNA tetur21g03320". The record is from RNAcentral. Lineage: Eukaryota; Metazoa; Arthropoda; Arachnida; Trombidiformes; Tetranychidae.